CCUGAAACAAGGUGGGNGCAAUGGGCUGUNCGUCCAGACUUCNUGUUCNUUGAGAUNGUUGGGGUUAAGUUCCUCGCAAUCNGAGGCGUCAACUCCUCNUCGGCAUNUCUGCCAGCGGGUUCGGGCCGGUCCACCCAUGCGAGGACCGCCGGCNUUAAGCCGGAGGAAGAGUGGGGNCGACGUCAAGUCAUCAUGCCCCUUAUGUNCCUGGGCUGCACACGUGCUACAAUGGUCGGCACAAUGGNCUGCCAGCCCGCGAGGGCGAGCGAAUCCNUAAAGCCGGCCCCAGUUCGNANNAGAGNNUGCAACCCACCUCCAUGAAGUCGGAGUUGCUNGUAACCGCGGAUCAGCACGUCCGCGGUGAAUGCGUUCCCGGGCNUUGUACACACCGCCCGUCACACCACCCGAGUUGAUUGCACCUGAAGUCGCCGUACCCAACCGGCAAGGGAGGGAGGCGNCCGAAGGUGUNNAUUGGUAUAGGGGGGUGAAGUUGUANCAAGGUAGACCGU
This 509-nucleotide ribosomal RNA is filed under the name uncultured Actinomycetes bacterium. RNAcentral describes it as "uncultured actinobacterium partial 16S ribosomal RNA". It matches the Rfam family "Bacterial small subunit ribosomal RNA", at positions 1027 to 1504 of the family's 1533-position model. The record is from RNAcentral. Lineage: Bacteria; Bacillati; Actinomycetota; Actinomycetes.